RNAcentral lists this long non-coding RNA (530 nucleotides) under Salmo salar (Atlantic salmon). Its description in RNAcentral is "lncRNA (ENSSSAG00000098452.1)". Lineage: Eukaryota; Metazoa; Chordata; Actinopteri; Salmoniformes; Salmonidae. The record is from RNAcentral.
GUGUGUGUGUGUGUGUGUGUGUGUUAUGAAGCACUGUUCCUGGUAAUUGGAUCCUGAGCUAAUGAGGGUGUUUGAGUGACAAAUAUAUUAAACCUAAACAUCCCCUCUCCCUAUUCUUGAAAACGCGACCCUAGGCAACACAGCGACUAGGCAACACAGCGACUAGCCAACACAGCGACUAGGCAACACAGCGACUAGCCAACACAGCGACUAGGCAACACAGCGACUAGCCAACACAGCGACUAGCCAACACAGCGACUAGCCAACACAGCGACUAGGCAACACAGCGACUAGCCAACACAGCGACUAUGCAACACAGCGACUAGGCAACACAGCGACUAGCCAACACAGCGACUAGGCAACACAGCGACUAGGCAACACAGUCACUAUCAACACAGCGACUAGCCAACACAGCGACUAGGCAACACAGCGACUAGGUAACACCGCGACUAGGUAACACAGUGACUAGGCAACACAGUGACUAGCCAACACAGUGACGACUAGCCAACACAGUGACUAUCAACACAGCG